RNAcentral lists this ribosomal RNA (468 nucleotides) under uncultured bacterium. Its description in RNAcentral is "partial 16S ribosomal RNA". It matches the Rfam family "Bacterial small subunit ribosomal RNA", at positions 28 to 507 of the family's 1533-position model. The record is from RNAcentral.
GACGAACGCUGGCGGCGUGCUUAACACAUGCCAGUCGAACGGAAAGGCCCUGCUUUUGUGGGGUGCUCGAGUGGCGAACGGGUGAGUAACACGUGAGUAACCUGCCCUUGACUUUGGGACAACUUCAGGAAACUGGGGCUAAUACCGGAUAGGAGCUCCUGCUGCAUGGUGGGGGUUGGAAAGUUUCGGCGGUUGGGGAUGGACUCGCGGCUUAUCAGCUUGUUGGUGGGGUAGUGGCUUACCAAGGCUUUGACGGGUAGCCGGCCUGAGAGGGUGACCGGCCACAUUGGGACUGAGAUACGGCCCAGACUCCUACGGGAGGCAGCAGUGGGGAAUAUUGCACAAUGGGCGGAAGCCUGAUGCAGCAACGCCGCGUGCGGGAUGACGGCCUUCGGGUUGGAAACCGCUUUCGCCUGUGACGAAGCGUGAGUGACGGUAAUGGGUAAAGAAGCACCGGCUAACUACGUG